UAAUACGAAGGGUGCAAGCGUUAGUCGGAAUUACUGGGCGUAAAGCGUGCGUAGGCGGUUUGUUAAGUCGGAUGUGAAAGCCCCGGGCUCAACCUGGGAAUGGCACUCGAUACUGGCAAGCUGGAGUACGGUAGAGGAUGGUGGAAUUCCCGGUGUAGCGGUGAAAUGCGUAGAGAUCGGGAGGAACAUCUGUGGCGAAGGCGGCCAUCUGGACCAGUACUGACGCUGAGGCACGAAAGCGUGGGGAGCAAACAGGAUUAGAUACCCUGGUA
This 272-nucleotide ribosomal RNA is filed under the name uncultured bacterium. RNAcentral's name for it is "partial 16S ribosomal RNA". It matches the Rfam family "Bacterial small subunit ribosomal RNA", at positions 521 to 792 of the family's 1533-position model. The record is from RNAcentral.